UCAUUUAUUUGAUCCAAAAUACAGCAAAAACAGUAAUAUUGUGUAAUAUUUUUACAAUUUUAAAUAACUGUUUUCUAUUUGAAUAUAUUUUAAAAUGUAAUUUAUUUUUGUGAUCAAAGCUGAAUUUUCAGCAUCAUUACUCCAGUUCAGUACUCUUCAGUGUCACGUGAUCCUUCAGAAAUGCUUUUCACUGCAACUGUACUUUUCACACUAUUUUUAUUUAUUUUUUUCAUUGCUGGCUUAUUUUAGGGAAAGUGUAGUGAAUAAGAAACCUUCAAGAGACCAACAUCCCUGGUCCACCACAGUAUCAAAUUUUUGCCAGGGCAACAGCGGGUCAAAUUGCUCCUGGGCCUCAAUCAUCUUCAUCAUCAUUUACUGAUCAUCUUCCUUUGGUCAUUUUCCAGCAUGAUCUUUCCAGAACCUGAUCCCCAACUAUUUUACAACAGAGUAAACCAUAUUAUUAUAGGAUUAAUGAUGCAA
Long non-coding RNA from Cyprinus carpio carpio, 480 nucleotides. NCBI's taxonomy places the organism in Eukaryota, Metazoa, Chordata, Actinopteri, Cypriniformes, Cyprinidae. The record is from Ensembl.